Molecule: ribosomal RNA, 445 nt
Filed under: uncultured bacterium
Lineage: Bacteria
Description: partial 16S ribosomal RNA
Rfam family: Bacterial small subunit ribosomal RNA
Source: RNAcentral
GUAGGGAAUAUUGGGCAAUGGAGGCAACUCUGACCCAGCCAUGCCGCGUGCAGGAUGACGGCCCUCUGGGUUGUAAACUGCUUUUAUACGGGAAGAAAAAAUACUACGUGUAGUAUACUGACGGUACCGUAAGAAUAAGGAUCGGCUAACUCCGUGCCAGCAGCCGCGGUAAUACGGAGGAUCCAAGCGUUGUCCGGAUUUAUUGGGUUUAAAGGGUGCGUAGGCGGAUCUUUAAGUCAGUGGUGAAAGCCUGCAGCUUAACUGUAGAAUUGCCAUUGAAACUGAAGAUCUUGAAUGUGGUAAAAGUAGGCGGAAUGUAUCAUGUAGCGGUGAAAUGCUUAGAUAUGAUACAGAACACCGAUAGCGAAGGCAGCUUGCUGAACCAUUAUUGACGCUGAGGCACGAAAGCGUGGGGAGCGAACAGGAUUAGAUACCCUAGUAGUCC